CAAGUCCCAAGCACCUUUAUACUUUUUCUUCUCUUUUCUCAACCACUAUCGUGGCGUCUAAAAUCACAUAUAGUAAUCUCUAAUAAAUCCAAGCACUUCGUAGUUGACCUAUGGUGUACUGGGGAUAUACACUCUGUGCCAAAUAUUUAAUUCGUUACUAGGAUUUUAUUUUUUGUUUUUCUCAUUUAGUAUCAUUCUUUCAGAUUUGUUACCGGUAUUAUCUCCUUCUCACCAGUCUGCUUUAAAAAUCCUCUUAUUUUCUCACUUUUCCUCUAUUAUGUACUUGAUAGUUAAGAGUUUUACUAGAUACUAAACAAGAGUUCCACAUUACUCCAUUGCUUGGGUUGCUGAAUCAUGGGAGAAUUCAAAUUUACAAGAGGAAACUACUUGCGAGGAAAAAAAGUUAGCGUUCAAUUCAAUACAAUAUGUUGUAAAUAUGUAUUUUUUGAAUUUUAAACUUGAAUCAAGUUGUUGUUAUGGCUAAGAAUAUUGUAUGCUGAUUUCUCUAUGAAGUGUUCCCCUAUGAUCCUACAUGUGGUUGGUGAUUCCCCAACAAUUGGUGCUCUGGAGAGAUUCAUUACUUUACAAUGGAAUUUUGCAUCCAAACCAAAGGUAUAGCACAACAAGCUUGGAGUACAAGGACUACAGGAAAAACUAUUAGUAAGGCAAACUCUAAUAAGAGUUCAAUAUACUUUGGUGGAGUAAAGAGUGCUGUCACACAAAAAAUACUACAGAUACUUGGUUUCAAUAAAGGUUCAUUACCUUUUAAAUAUCUAGGGGUUCCUCUUAGUACCAAGAGAAUGCCUCUACUGCAAUGUUACUCUUUGGGGGUAAGAAUUAUGGGAAAUAUUACUUCCUAGGCUUCUGAAUACCUAUCUUACUCUAGAAGGCUGCAGUUGAUUAAAAGUAUUUUAUGUUCAGUACAAUCCUACUGGUCACAUGAGUUUUUUCUUCUUAAAGAAGUUAUGCAAGCUUUAGAGGGCAUAUGUAGAAGAUUCUUAUGGACUGGAAGGGCUGAAGUGUCCAAGAAAGCAUUAAUAGCCUGGGAAGCAUUGUGUAGGCUUGUGGUGGCUGGUGGAAUCAAUAUCACUGACCUUUGAUUGUGUAAUAAGGUUGCUAAACUACUGUGGAAUCAAUGUAAGAAUAAAGACAAGCUUUGGGUGCAAUGGGUCCAUAUCUACUACAUUAAGGAAGCUCCUAUCAAGGAUGUAGCGCCUAAACAAGCUUCAUGGCUGCCACAAAAGUUUUUAAAGCACAUUAAUAUGCCCAGGAGGCAGUCUCACUAUUCGUGAUCUCACUAACAUGGAGAAGUUUUCUAUCAGGAAAAUAUAUAGUAAUUUACUAGGUGAUUUUCAGAAGGUAGCUUAAAGGAGAUUGAUAUGUAAUAAUGUUUGUCCUGCCAAGUGGAUUUUUAUAUUAAUACUAGCUAUUAUGAAUAGAUUAUACACAAAAGAUAGGUUGG
Molecule: long non-coding RNA, 1462 nt
Organism: Capsicum annuum
Lineage: Eukaryota; Viridiplantae; Streptophyta; Magnoliopsida; Solanales; Solanaceae
Exons: 3
Source: RefSeq, a predicted model, not a curated record